This 1234-nucleotide long non-coding RNA is filed under the name Cervus hanglu yarkandensis (Yarkand deer). RNAcentral describes it as "lncRNA (ENSCHYG00000025090.1)". The record is from RNAcentral. Lineage: Eukaryota; Metazoa; Chordata; Mammalia; Artiodactyla; Cervidae.
GGUUUUCCCUAGUCAUGGAUUUCUAUAUGUCUGUCUUUUUCCUUGUAGCUUUUGGGGUUCUUGUGUACAUAUCAGCUACCUUUGUCAAAUCUUAAUAUCUGCAAUAGCUACUUCAGAUAUUUUGCCUUAUAAACAUGUAUUCUAAAAGUACUCAGAAUAAAAAUUAAAGUAGUUGAAGUGUGCAUUCAGAAACCAAACAGUGCAGCUGUCACCACCGCUCACAGGAAAUUCACCAAACUAAACUUGACCAGAGCCAUUCAUAGUCACAAUACAUGGCCGAGAGGAAAUGCCCAAACCCCAAAUGCGUUUCAUCAAAGGCUGGAGGACAAAGGAGGUUCUGUUUCUCGGCACUUAAAAUUGGCCGCAUCCCACAGAUGCACCACGUGGUCCAGAGCCAUCUCCCACCGGCUGCAGGACCCAAUCUGUGGGCGUUUGCUCCCGGGGCUCCUGGGUACUCAGCCGGGGAGUUCCUCCUUUGGUGCUGCUCUCUGGGACUCUCUGCCUACGUGUGAGCACGUCGCUAGAGGAUCUGCCCACGUGCAGCAUGCCUGCACCUCCAGCCACAGUGGUUGCUGAAAUGACUGCCUGCCAAAGUCUCUGUGCGCCAAGCAUCACCAGCACAUGGUGCUGGGAGAAGGGUUGCUGUCCGCUAUCCGGAUAGCAGCCAACUAGAACUGCACUGCCUUCUUGCUUGCCUUUCCUGGCUUAAAAUUGAAGUUGCCCGGAAAAAUCAAACAUACGAUUACCAUAGGAUCCUGGAAUCCUACUUGAAGGGGAUCUCCCCACCAGAAGGAAAAGCAGGGCCUUGAAGUGAUACUUGUCCCCCUGUGUUCACAGCAGCCUUAUUCGCAAUAACUAAAACAUUUAAAACAACCCAAGUGUCUGUCGAUGCAUGCCUGGAUGAACAGAACAUGGUCCAGCCCCAUAAUGGAGUGUGAUUCAGCCUUCAAAAGACAGCCGCUACAACACAGCUGGACUGACAAGGUGUGAUGGUCAGUGAGAGAAGCCAGACACAAGGACAGACACAGUAUGACUCCACUGGUAUGAGGUGCCUAGAGUCGUCAGACCCGAGACAGAGAGAGGAGGAUGGGGAGGGGGCACGGGCUGGGAAGGGGGAGUUAGAGUCUAAUGGGGCAGAGUUUCCAUUGGGGAAGAUGGACCGUUCUGGGGAUGGCCGCACACCCACAUGAACAUACUUAGUGCUGCCAAGCUGGACACUUAAAAAUGGUCAAGA